GAGGAAGGUGGGGAUGACGUCAAAUCAGCACGGCCCUUACGUCCGGGGCUACACACGUGUUACAAUGGGGGGUACAGAAGGCAGCUACACGGCGACGUGGUGCUAAUCCCGAAAGCCUCUCUCAGUUCGGAUUGGAGUCUGCAACCCGACUCCAUGAAGCUGGAUUCGCUAGUAAUCGCGCAUCAGCCACGGCGCGGUGAAUACGUUCCCGGGCCUUGUACACACCGCCCGUCAAGCCAUGAAAGCCGGGGGUACCUGAAGUACGUAACCGCGAGGAGCGUCCUAGGGUAAAACUGGUAAUUGGGGCUAAGUCGUAAC
Molecule: ribosomal RNA, 318 nt
Filed under: Bacteroides sp.
Lineage: Bacteria; Pseudomonadati; Bacteroidota; Bacteroidia; Bacteroidales; Bacteroidaceae
Description: SSU rRNA
Rfam family: Bacterial small subunit ribosomal RNA
Source: RNAcentral